AUCUGGGCGGCGGAAUUCAGGAUGGUUGCCGCGUUUUCGCGCGUCGGCCGUUUGAUAUUUCCGUCGCCGAUAACCCGCAGACGUCGCGACCUGUUCACGGUCGGUCCCUGCUCCGAGGAGCCGCGUUCGAGCUCGUUGCGUGUCGCGUUUCGGCGUGUCACGCGGCGAAGGCGCGGAUCUCUGGCUGGCCGUCGGACAGUAUGCUCAACGGUGUCCGGUGUCGCUUCCGCGCGUGCACCGGUACCGGUCAGCGACGAAUUCUUCGGGCCUCUUUCCGACCCGUCUUGAAACACGGACCAAGGAGUCUAACAUGCGCGCGAGUCGCGGGGUGUCGAGCGUACUUCGGUACGUUCGUUACGUUGCGAAACCCGUACAUGUCGAAGGCGUAAUGAAAGUGAAUGGGGAAGAUGGUGUUCCGAGUACACGUUCCGCGAUCGUCGGUAUCGCGGCCGGACACCCGCAUUCCCGGGGCGUCUCAACGGCCCGUCGCUGAUGCGGACAGUCGUCUUUCGGGGCGGCUGUCGGUCGGCGACGAACCGA
This 540-nucleotide ribosomal RNA is filed under the name Melanaspis sp. ud0276. RNAcentral describes it as "eukaryotic LSU rRNA". The record is from RNAcentral. Lineage: Eukaryota; Metazoa; Arthropoda; Insecta; Hemiptera; Diaspididae.